UGCUAGUCGUGCGAAUUAGAUUCGCGGCAGAUAGCUCAGUAACACGUGGCCAAGCUACCCUUCAGACCAGAAUAACCUCGGGAAACUGAGGCUAAGACUGGAUACGGAACGCCUGCUGGAAUGCAGCGUUCUCCAAACGCUUCGGCGCUGAAGGAUGCGGCUGCGGCCGAUUAGGUAGACGGUGGGGUAACGGCCCACCGUGCCAAUAAUUGGUACGGGUGAUGAGAGUCAGAGCCCGGAGACGGAAUCUGAGACAAGAUUCCGGGCCCUACGGGGCGCAGCAGGCGCGAAACCUUUACACUGCACGCAAGUGCGAUAGGGGAAUCCCAAGUGCGAGGGCAUACUAGCCCUCGCUUUUGUUGACUGUAAGGAGGUCAACGAAUAAGAGCUGGGCAAGACCGGUGCCAGCCGCCGCGGUAAUACCGGCAGCUCGAGUGAUGUCCAAUAUUAUUGGGCCUAAAGCGUCCGUAGCUGGCCAGCCAAGUUCGUCGGGAAAUCCACCUGCCCAACAGGUGGGCGUCCGGCGAAAACUGUCUGGCUUGGAACCGGAAGGCUCAGAGGGUACGUCCGGGGUAGGAGUGAAAUCCUGUAAUCCCGGACGGACCACCGAUGGCGAAAGCACUCUGAGAAGACGGAUUCCACAGUGAGGGACGAAAGCUAGGGUCUCGAACCGGAUUAGAUACCCGGGUAGUCCUAGCUGUAAACGAUGCUCGCUAGGUGUGGCACACGCUACGAGCCUGUGCUGUGCCGUAGGGAAGCCGAUAAGCGAGCCGCCUGGGAAGUACGUCCGCAAGGAUGAAACUUAA
RNAcentral lists this ribosomal RNA (806 nucleotides) under uncultured euryarchaeote. Its description in RNAcentral is "bacterial SSU rRNA". It matches the Rfam family "Archaeal small subunit ribosomal RNA", at positions 52 to 859 of the family's 1478-position model. The record is from RNAcentral. Lineage: Archaea; Methanobacteriati; Methanobacteriota.